Molecule: transfer RNA, 72 nt
Filed under: Dendrophysa russelii (goatee croaker)
Lineage: Eukaryota; Metazoa; Chordata; Actinopteri; Sciaenidae
Description: tRNA-Trp
Rfam family: tRNA
About the family: Transfer RNA (tRNA) molecules are approximately 80 nucleotides in length. Their secondary structure includes four short double-helical elements and three loops (D, anti-codon, and T loops). Further hydrogen bonds mediate the characteristic L-shaped molecular structure. tRNAs have two regions of fundamental functional importance: the anti-codon, which is responsible for specific mRNA codon recognition, and the 3' end, to which the tRNAs corresponding amino acid is attached (by aminoacyl-tRNA synthetases). tRNAs cope with the degeneracy of the genetic code in two manners: having more than one tRNA (with a specific anti-codon) for a particular amino acid; and 'wobble' base-pairing, i.e. permitting non-standard base-pairing at the 3rd anti-codon position.
Source: RNAcentral
AGAGACUUAGGAUAGCCUUAAGACCAAGGGCCUUCAAAGCCCUCAGCGGGAGUUAGAAUCUCCCAGUCCCUG